Molecule: RNA transcript, 2616 nt
Organism: Rosa chinensis
Lineage: Eukaryota; Viridiplantae; Streptophyta; Magnoliopsida; Rosales; Rosaceae
Exons: 6
Source: RefSeq, a predicted model, not a curated record
UAUGAUUUAUCAUAAGUCAUAUGAUCGGAGGCACCAGAAUCAAUAAUCCAUGUAUCAGAACCAACAAAGUUAGAAACCUUUAAAACCAUACCAAUCUUACCACGACCAGCUAUAGAGGCUGUAGGAUGAUAACCCUUCUUUUUAGGGUAUCCGUUCAGUUUCCAGCCUUGUGGGACAGAAACCUCAACCUUCUGGACCUCAUGGAUCUUGGAACUCUGACCGUCAUUGUCACCACCACCCAUUGCAAUAAUACAAUUGCAAAAAAACACACAAAUCCCAAAGUAUGCAGCGGAAAUAAGAAGAACAGAAGGCUCCAAAAAUAAUAACAGAUUUUUUUUUUGAGACCUGUGGGAGUUGACUGGGCUGAUGGGUUGACCGAGUUAGGCUGACUCAGUUGACCGAGCUGAGGUGUGUUGACUAGGCUGACCAAAUUGACCGAUUGGACGGCGCACUGAAGAGACCAGGCUGAGUGCGACCCCAAGGAUGAGGACGGUGAAGCAACGCGAGAGAUGGAGCGACGCGAUCCGAAGGAUGAGGACGGCAAUCUUCACAGAUGAAGCCGACGAUCUGGGUGCUUUGCGGUGUCGCCGGGAACUGACGAACCCUGUUCUGAAAAGAUGACGGCGAUCGGACGGGACCUCUAACUGGUGCGGCGCACGUUGUGUAUGCCCCGCCUUGACUGCAGAAGACGUCGACGCCGAUCUGGACAGCAAGAGAGGGACGAUUCUGGGCUGGUAACCAAGAACGACGCCGGGCUGGAUCAAGAGAGGAUGGCGCCGAUCUGGAUUGAUGAGAGGAGCGGGGGCGGUCUCGAGCAGAAGACGAAGCCGACUCGGCAAGAGGAGCGACAACGGUCUUGAAGACGAGGCCGACUGGAUUAAAGGAGCAAUGACGGCCUUGGGCUGAAGGCGAAGCCAAUAGUCACUGAAGUGAAGUUGACGGAGAAGAAGGAUGACGUCUUCCAAUAGUUGGAGAACGACGUCGUCUAACCCACAGAAGGUUCCAAGUCAACUGUCUUCCUCGUAUUGAGAGAAGACUGAAGAAGAAGAAAAAAAAGACAAAGUCCUUUGCGGAUCUUUGCUCUGAUACCAAGUCAAAUAGAACAAGGUUGAGAGAAUGAAUUUUCUGAUAAUCUUAUUCAUCUCACAGUGGAGGUAUAUAAAGAGGAUUACAGGAAUACAAUUGACUUACGUCUCUAUUAUCUACCACACACAGAAAAGAGCCAAGCUGUUUUCUCGAAUUUCUUUGGACACCAAAACGCUCUGGUCCCAGAUAUUGUGGCUUCCAAUCUAUUUUGGAUACCUCAAUCGAUUUUGGCACCAAUUUGAUUUGGGCACCCCUACAUCAUCAAUGUCACCGACGUGCGCUGAUAACCAACUCGAGAGGUCGGCAACAGCGAAACCACCUUAUUUUAUAUUUUUUUCAAAGUGAUGCGGGAGCCAAGUUCAUAUUUUAUUCAAGAAGUUUUUUCAGUUACUAAACACUAUAUAAUUAAGAGGUCUGUUCUUCAGGGUGUAAGAAAUGCAAUUCACAUAUACAAUUUCAGGUUAUUGUCUUUUGAAUCUCUUCAUGCCUUGAUGUUUGAUGUAUUAACUGUCAUAACUCGUGUCUUUUAGAAUUCUUAGAUGCAUUAAUUUGGUUCUUUGAAUGAUUCACGUAUCAAUGGCUCUAUGAAAAGAGCCAAGUUGUUAGCUUUGAAAGAUAAGUUGCUUGUGAAAUUUCUUGAUGGUUUCUUCUUGUGUGUGAAGCAUUGGUUGACUUGGAGUGAUUCCAAGGCACCUUUGGUGUGUUGUGGAAAGUUUCUGAUUUCUCACUGAUUACUACCGCUGUGAAGCUGGUAGUUACUAUCCUUUCCUUAUGAUUUAUUCCUUUUUUUACUACAUCUUAUCUGUGUACUUUAUUGAUAGAGGGUCUAAGCUUGUCCUUUAAGGCACAAGGCAUUUAAUUCUUGAGUUGAGGCUAAUUUGUCGUGCUUGAUAUAUGCAUUGAUGACAUUAUGACAAAUAACAUUCAUACUUCACAUUAGUCUUUUGUUUUUUCCCCUAAUGUCAUCUUGUGUACAAGGCUAUGUGGCUUGCUUGGUGCCCUCAUGUUUCAAACUGGUGUAGCUGCAACAUAUCAUAAUUAAUGUUGUUCAUAGGGAAUUGAGCAGGGCAUGGUGACACCAUCUCUUUUAGUCCAAGUGACGGAAAUGAAAAGCAUAGACAUGGGUUUGCAAAGAAAUUUGGACCUCUGUUGUCUGGGACAGCAUAUUGCAUUUCAUCGUGCAGCAUGAUAUUGCUGAAUAAAGUUGUUCUAUCGAGUUACAACUUCAAUGCAGGAGUUUCAUUUAUGUUUUAUCAAAUCCUGAUUUCCUAUUUUAUGAAGACAUCGCAUCAUGAAGAGUAUCUCUGUGUCAAGAUCUCAUAUCAAGGCAUCGGAAUUGGUGCGAUGUUGGGAGAUACAACAGAGUGGAGGAAAUGUUGAACACUGGAAUAGUGCCAAAGUAACCCUAUGCAAUCAUUGGGAGAUCAAGCUUGGAACACCCAGCAAAUUGUUUUCUUAUUUAUCAUCAUGUAAAUCUUAUGAAACUUGAAAGCUUGUUAAGCUAAUGAAAUAGAUUAAUGCUUUAUGAAA